Cyprinodon variegatus (sheepshead minnow) is the source of this 1964-nucleotide long non-coding RNA. RefSeq lists it as uncharacterized. The transcript has 2 exons. The record is from RefSeq and is a predicted model, not a curated record. NCBI's taxonomy places the organism in Eukaryota, Metazoa, Chordata, Actinopteri, Cyprinodontiformes, Cyprinodontidae.
UUCUCUGUGAAUCACCUCUAACUGACUCUGUCAGCAUAUAAACCAUCCAUGGGGUUUAUUGAGGUUUUUAUUUUCUUUAGACGUAAAUAUAAUUAUGUUUUUAAUAUAGGCAUAUGACCAUUCUCUAUCUGAUCUUGUUCGAGAUGCUGCAUAGAAUCGUUAAGUGGGGCUUUUCUUUAUUGAAUUGUUUUUGAAUCUUUAAAAAUAGAAUAAAGAAUCUUCUCAUAAUCUCUCCAUGUCUAAUGUGGGAAUUUUUUUCAUUUGUUUAUAGUACAGAGACAGAAGUGAAAAAAAUCUGCCCACCCUUUCUAGUAGGAGCCUCUUUUUACGCAGUCAGUGUGACAUAAAAAUGGGAUCAGAGAUUAAAGUCGAACGCAACCGGUGUGUUCAGGCCUUUUUAACUUAUGUAACUGUUUUGAAAUUUUUUAAACAGUUUAGAGCUCUGUUUUUCUUGAGGGAAAAAAACCUCAAAACAUUUGAGAUUUUAAUUUGCCUUGAUCAUUAAACUUGUUGUAAUUACCCAUUAAACUUGUCGUAAUUACCCAUGAUUCUUCAUGUUUCCUUUGCUUGGUGGCAAAUUGCAGCUGAUUGAUGUCAAUGAUGGCUUCCUAUCUCUGAUGCUUCUCUCUGGAGAGAUUAAGGACCUCAAAAUUCCAGAUGGGGACUUGGGCAGAGAAAUGGUAAAAAAAUUCCAUGAAGGAGAAGAGAUAAUGGUGUCUGUGUUGAAAGCUGUAGGUGAGGAGCAUGCAGUCGACUUUAAAAUUAUAACUAAAUAGACCACAACAACAUUGGAGACCUCAACUUCCUACUGUCCUGUUUGGUUUGAAGCUUCACCAAAGCUACUGGCCUUCACGGCACAUCUCCACUGGUGUGUCCCACCCUCUCCCCACCUGCUGUCAGCUCUAAUUCUGAAAACUUGGUCAACUUCAGCUGUAAUUCAGACUCAGGCCAGCAUGGCGUCCUUCCUCAGUGCUCUCAGAUGUCAAUCCAUUGCUGUCCUGGCGCCACUGUAUAGCAUAUACCAGGUAUUAGCUGAGGAAUUCUUAACCACGCACCGGUAAAUCUCAACAUUCCUCUUAUAUGGGAAAGUCCAAUUGGGGAGUGUUGUUUUUUACACCAACUAUCUGACUUCAGUUCCUGUUGAAGGUGAAACUGCAUUUCAGUUGUCGUUUCACUUUACAAAUACUCUGCAUUAGUCCAUUAAGCUGGGUUUUGUGUUUGAACAGAGUCAACCCACCCCGACAUUUAAAUGCACACAGCUCAUGCCUUAGCAGAUGCUUAUUUAUGUAGUCUUUUUUUUUUUCCUGCACUUGCACUGCAGAUCUGCAGAUAGGUUUUCUGCUGCAUGUAGUCCAGUCCCAAGGUCGAUGUUUUUUCCAUCUGACAACUGUGCUGCCUCAGCAGCCCAACAUGCUGGAGCAGAGGAGGCUGGGUGGGGCAGUUUGCUCCUCUAUGCUAUAAAACUUCCUUUUUCACUUGAGGCCUUUACAAGCUGACAAAUAUAUAGAAAUCAUUUUAAAGGAACAAAUAUUGAGGUCAUUCAUGACUAUAUGUGUAAAUAUUAGCAAAUCUCACCUUAAGCAAACUGCAGUUAUAGAAGAGCAGUUGCAACGAAGAGGAAAUGAUAGAAUUUAAAGAUUUGCAUGGGGUAUCCUACGUUAAGUGAUAGUAAAGAAUAUUAAAUUGCUGCUUGGUGGCGGUUGGGUGAGUUGUAGAAAACACUUCGGAGACCUUUGUGCAGAGUUUGCAAAUUUUGUAUGAAAAUAUGUUACAAUCCCUUUUUCAGUUAAAUCACCCACAAUGUUACAGUUUAAGAAUAAAUAGUACUAGGACGUUUCGGUACAUUUAGCAUUUUGCAAAAACAUUUUGUUACAUUACAACAUUCCUAACAGAAAUUAGGGCAUAUCUUAACUCUGGACAGAUAAGACCAGCUUGGUUUUAUGCCACUAUUGGAAAAAAAAAAA